This 602-nucleotide ribosomal RNA is filed under the name Bacillus pumilus. RNAcentral's name for it is "partial 16S ribosomal RNA". It matches the Rfam family "Bacterial small subunit ribosomal RNA", at positions 353 to 927 of the family's 1533-position model. Lineage: Bacteria; Bacillati; Bacillota; Bacilli; Caryophanales; Bacillaceae. The record is from RNAcentral.
ACCGGGGGGGCCUUGUACACACAUCGAAGUCUGACGGUCCACGCCGCAGGUGAAAUGAUGAAGGUUUUCUUCACCGUAAAGCUCUGUUGUUAGGGAAGAACAAGUGCGAGAGUAACUGCUCGCACCUUGACGGUACCUAACCAGAAAGCCACGGCUAACUACGUGCCAGCAGCCGCGGUAAUACGUAGGUGGCAAGCGUUGUCCGGAAUUAUUGGGCGUAAAGGGCUCGCAGGCGGUUUCUUAAGUCUGAUGUGAAAGCCCCCGGCUCAACCGGGGAGGGUCAUUGGAAACUGGGAAACUUGAGUGCAGAAGAGGAGAGUGGAAUUCCACGUGUAGCGGUGAAAUGCGUAGAGAUGUGGAGGAACACCAGUGGCGAAGGCGACUCUCUGGUCUGUAACUGACGCUGAGGAGCGAAAGCGUGGGGAAAAAAAAGGAAUUGAAUACCCUGGGUAGGUCCACCCCGUAAAACCAUGAGUGCUAAGUGUUAGGGGGGUUUCCCACCCCCUUAGUGAUGCAAGUAAACAGAAUUAAGCACUCCCCACCUGGGGGGAGUACAGGUCACCAAAACUUAUAACUCACAUGAAUUUUUAAGGGGGGGCCCA